Ictidomys tridecemlineatus (thirteen-lined ground squirrel) is the source of this 852-nucleotide non-coding RNA. Lineage: Eukaryota; Metazoa; Chordata; Mammalia; Rodentia; Sciuridae. The record is from RefSeq and is a predicted model, not a curated record.
CUGGGAUUUAAUUCGCCAUGGCGCUUGAUGCUCAAUGUUCGUGAAUUAAAGCCGGGUGCUGGGCUUAAAAUGGGGUUGCUUCCCUCCCCCCAACUUUAUUAACCAAAAAGUGUAUAUAUAAGACUUGGCCUUGAACUUCUGGAUUCCUGAGCUCAAGUAAUCCUCCUGCCUUAGCCUCCUGAGUGCUGGAACUACAGGUAUGGGCCACCACUCCCAGUCCAUAAACUCUAAUUUGUAACAACCCAUUAACUCCAAAGAAACUAGAUACAGUUUUUGAUAAUAUGCCUUCUAGAUUCCAAAUCCUAUUACAUGUAAGAAUUUGCAUAUUCAAUUUAUUUGUUGGCUUCAACACCCUUACGCAUAUAUAUAUAUAUAAAUAAUUUUUUUUGCAUCUGGCCUCAUAGUUAAAAAAUUCACUGCAACCUGAUUCAAUGUCAUGUGCCAAUUCUGUCAGAGAAUGCCAAAAAUUAUCUAAAACUUGGUUAGAAUGUGGUUAGAUCAUGUUUUAAAAUUUAUUCUGGAGUGCUUUAUGAUUGAUUUUAUAUAAUGAAGGUCUUCUUUGCAGGAUACCUCACAAUUAUCUCUUCCUCUCAUCUCCUUGUUCAUUUCAUACAGAGUAUGGAGUCAAUAUAAGUAUUAAGUAAUUCUUCUCACCCUUCACUGCUGUCAGAAUCAAAACUAAGGUCUUCCACCUCAACUAAGCCCUUAUUAAGUGCUUACCAAAAUCCUAUAAGUGAUGUAAUCAAGACAGUUAUUCUGCAAUCUGAACAGAGAGGUUAAACAAAACAAAACAAAAAAAAAUGACCUUUUCUCUUGGAUCUACUUUAUCUGGAAUACACUUGCUACUCUAGA